This 4299-nucleotide ribosomal RNA is filed under the name Triticum aestivum (bread wheat). Its description in RNAcentral is "partial small subunit ribosomal RNA". Lineage: Eukaryota; Viridiplantae; Streptophyta; Magnoliopsida; Poales; Poaceae. The record is from RNAcentral.
AUGGCUGCUGUCCCAUUCGAUGUCCGAGGCGGGACGGUUUGCAGGUUGCAGCGAUGGUGGGAGUUGGCUCCAUCCAAAGCCGUCUCCUUUGAGGGUGCCAGGACGGUCUGGAUGCCGGGCGGCGGCCCUGGCGGUGGGAGGUGCGUGGAUCUUGGGCAGAUUGCGCAGCUCGGGUGCGGGCGAGCAGACAUGGCCGCACGGGCGGCAUGGAUGUGGGUGGUUUGCGGAGCAUGGGAUGCCGAAGGGUUGGUGCACCGGGGUACAUCACUUGCCCAGUCCUUGUACUGGCCGACAGUGGUGGCGUCCGCGGACGUCGUUUCCUCCCUGCAGGCUCCGUCGCGAUGCUUCCUUUCCCUUCGGAUUACUCCGGGCACCGUUUUGGAGUCCUUGCUCCGUUGUCGGUCGUCUCACCUCUCCUUGGUGAUUGCUCAUGGUGAUCUCCGUCGGCUCAAGGCGAUGCCUCUUUGCUCAUCUUUAGUGUGCUCUGUAGUUCGUUGGAGUGGUGUGUCGGUGCCCGGCACCCUUGUAUCUUGCCCUGGGUGGGUGUUCUUGCCUUGGAAACAGCGAUCCCAGCAAAGAGAAAAAAGGGGCUUCAAUAAACUGCCCUUGGGGGUAUUCAAUCCCUGUUCUGCGGGGUGGAUGAGACGGGUCGCUACCACUGGGCUAGGGUCGCACCGGCGAGCGGCGGCGCGUCUAGCGAAGCAGAGGAACUCCGGCGGGCGCACGGGAUUGAGAGGGGAGCACAUGCAUGGUCGCGCGCGUGCAAUAGAGGACCGGGCGCUCGAGCACAAGCAUAGCUCUGCUCGGGGCCAUGGCGUUCGCGGCGAGCAGGGAAGCAAGCAAGGCGACGGGAGGCACAGCUGGGCGUGUGGAAAAGUGGUGUGGGUGCGCGUGUGCAGGCGAAGCUGCUGCGAGGGUGCAAGGGUGCGAGUGCGCGUGCGGCAGCUCGACUACGAGCUCAUGCUCGUCUCGGGUAUGGAGGCGGCAAGGCUGGGCGAGGCUGCUGCUCCUUGCGUUCGAGCGCGCGCGUUAAGGAUGGGACGUGAGGCAACUGCAUCUAGGCGGGAACCGGAGCGCGGGGAUGCACGGGCGCGCUGCAGCAAGUACACACAACAAAACUACAGAGUUCGCCGGAGCACCGGGAGCACAACAAAGACACGAAUCGAUCGAGUCUCACGGGGUCCUAUAUGCCAUGGAAAGAAAGGGAGAGGUAGGUGCUUUACCCAGCUCACCCUAGGACAUGAUGGGGUCGACGGAGACGAGUCGGAGACGAUGCGAGGGAGCUCUGAACUUGGUGGGGCUGCUGUCCGCGAAGCAGAGGAAGAAGACAGCCGAGGGAGUCGAUCUGGAGGCCUUGUGGUCGCGUGCGUCAUGGAAGGAGUCGGAGAGGUACUUGACGGUCCUCUCCACGGAAACAGGAGGGUCGGAGGCGCGACAUGGACGACUACCCCGAGCUCGAGCUCUUGCUCGCUCGGGUCAUGGUGGGUAGGGCGACGGCGAGGCGCGUGGAGACCUACCUGGCGGCGGCGAGGGCAAGGGAGGGACGGAAGUGGACGAGGGGAACUAGGGCUAGUGAUUGCGCCUUCGUCCGUCCGUGGUUUUCUCCCCCAAGGGUUUCCACAUAAAAAAUCCGUGUGCUCUCAUGUCUCAUUUAUUUCUCGUUAUUAUCUAACAAGUGGUAUACAGAGCCAAGUUGCAAAGAUACGAGAUUUGAGACGAGAGUUAGGGUUGCGGUCUAUCCGCCGCAGCCGUCUUCCGCGAUCCGUCGAAUCCGACACGGGAUUGUUUUCUGCUGCGCGUCGUCACAGAGAUCCGCUGUUCGAGUCUGACAGCUAUUUCGCCGAGACCUCCGCUGCUGUGCCGCCCUACAAAGUCGUGCGCUUGUCCGAUCUGCCGAGCCGUGCGUCUCAGCAGUUUAAUCGACUCAUGGCUUCCAUGAAGUACGAUCUUCCGCUGCUGGACCGUGACACAAGGUUUACCCUGUGGCAAGUCAAGAUGCGGGCGUUGUUGGCACAGUCCGACUAUGAUGAAGCACUGUGUAAUUUUGGGAAGAACAGAAUUCAGGACUGGACUAAUGUGGAGAAAAGAAUUGAUUGUAAGGCUUUGUCACAAAUUCAACUCCAUUUGCAUAAUAAUAUUUUGCAGGAAGUUUUGAGCGAGAAAACUGCCGCCGCUCUAUGGUUAAAGCUGGAAGGGAUUUGCAUGACUAAAGAUCUCACCAGCAAGAUGCAUCUGAAGCAAAACAUUAUUCCUGCACAGGUUACCCGAGGGAGAGACACCAUAUUAUACAGUCGUGAUGCUCUCACACUUAAUGAAGUUUUUGAAGCUUUGAACUCUAAGGAGAAGAUGAAAUUAAUGGUGCCUCAUGAUGGUUCAAGUUCAUCCCAAUCCGAGGGAUUAUCUGUUUGUGGCAGGACAAAGGAGAAGAACUCACAUAAUGGAAACAGAGGCAAAAGUAAGAACGGCUAUAGGGGCCAGUCGCAAUCCAGAGACAAGAAGUAUUCAGGUAUUGCAAGAGAGACGGACAUGACAUCUCAGAGUGUUUCAAGUUGCAAAACAAGGAAAAGAGAAAAGGUAACAAACAAGGUGACAAUUCUGCUAACGUUGCUCGUGAUGAUAGUUUCGAUGAUGCUCUUGUCAUUAUCGCUAGAUGUGCUGAGACCAAUGAUGAGUGGAACUUUGGCAGAUGUUCGGUAUAUUCCGAAGAUGAAGAGAAAUCUUAUUUCUAUGAGUGCCCUUGAUGCAAAGGGGUACAAAUAUUCAGGUGGAGAUAGUGUUUUGAAGGUCACCAAAGGUUCCCUUGUUGUGAUGAAAGGUAACGCUACUCCAGUUAUUUCAAAGAAUUUUGAUUGUGAUGCUGCUAACCUUUGGCAUAUGCGUCUUGGACAUAUGAGUGAACUUGGUUUAGCAGAGUUAAAUAAGAGAGGUCUUCUUGAUGGAUAUGAACCCGGUAAAUUGAAAUUUUGUGAGCAUUGUAUCUUCGGCAAACACAAGAGGGUGAAGUUCAACACUUCGGUUCAUACAACUGAAGGUAUUCUUGAUUAUGUUCAUGCUGAUUUAUGGGGACCAUCUCGCAAGAAGUCACUAGGUGGUGCUAGUUACAUGCUGACUAUUAUUGAUGAUUAUUCGAGAAAAGUUUGGCCUUAUUCCUUGAAGCAUAAAUAUGAAGCAUUAUCAGUUUUUAAGGAGUGGAAGAUUAUGAUUGAAAGGCAGACUGAAAAGAAGUUGAGAGUUUUUGGUUGCACUGCUUAUGCUCAUGUUGAUAAUGGAAAGUUGGAGCCUAGAGCUGUUAAGUGCAUCUUUCUUGGUUAUAAAUCUGGUGUUGAAGGUUUUAAAUUGUGGAAUCCUGAAACCCAGAAGGUUGUUAUUAGCAGAAAUGUUAUCUUUAAUGAAUCUGCUAUGUUACAUGAUGUUUCAUCUACUAAUGUUCCUAUUGAGAGUGAACAUCAGCCUAUUGUUCAAGAGCCUACUGUUCAGGUGGAGCAUGUUAUUGACUACGGUGAUACAUCUGGUAAUGAAAUGUUGAUGCACAUGAUGAACCCGUCGUUAAUGAUGAUCAUGUCACUCCCCCUCCAGUUCAGCUUAUUGUUCCACCCAGUUGGAAUCUCGCACGUGACAGAGUUAGGCGGGAAGAAAUUGAAGCGAUCCGAGAGUAGAGGCAGACCCGUCGUCCCGAACGAUUCCCCACCCCGAUGCGCCUCCCUCUCCUCCCAGCGCGCCGCCGCCGCGGCCUCCCCGUCCCCCAGCGCGCGCUGCCGCGGCCACCCUCUCUCCCAGCUCGCCGCCGCCGCGGCCUCCCCGUCCCCCAGCGCGCGCUGCCGCGGCAACCCUCUCUCCCAGCUCGCCGCCGCCGCGGCCUCCCCCUCCCCCAGCGCGCGCCGCCGCGGCCACCCCUCCCCCAGCUCGCCGCCGCCGCGGCCACCCCUCCCCCAGCUCGCCGCCGCCGCGACCAGCCCCUCCACCGCAUCAGCUCCCAGGACGUUCAGAGCCGCCAACCAGUCCGUUCACCACCGCGAACAGAGCCCGUUCAACGACGCAGCGGUUCGAUGUGUGACACGCUGCCCUGCCCUGACGUGCAGCCGACGCGCACCAUCCCAUCGUCGGCGCGACCUCUGCCACGUCGGGUCGCAGCCCCAGCCACCCAGCGCGCCGCUCGCGCAGAUCGCCUGCGUGCUGGUGGCGAGCGUCUCCUUGUCUCGUACUCCUGCUGAACUCGGGCUCCUCUGCCCAGGCCCUUGUCUUCGCAGCACUUGCGCGGUCAUCCGGCAGCGGCGGCGCCAAUGGAUCCAACGAUGUUAG